Molecule: ribosomal RNA, 774 nt
Filed under: uncultured Neocallimastigales
Lineage: Eukaryota; Fungi; Neocallimastigomycota; Neocallimastigomycetes; Neocallimastigales
Description: partial large subunit ribosomal RNA
Rfam family: Eukaryotic large subunit ribosomal RNA
Source: RNAcentral
UAUGUGAUCGUCUCUCGCAUAUCAAUAAGCGGAGGAAAAGAAACUAACAAGGAUUCCCCUAGUAACGGCGAGUGAAGCGGGAAGAGCUCAAAUUUGAAAUCUUAAAGGGUUUCCCUUUACGAAUUGUAGUUUAAAGAAGUGUUUUCUGUUGAGGUUUUGGUAAAAGUUCUUUGGAAUAGGACAUCAUAGAGGGUGAGAAUCCCGUAUUUGACCUUUACUUUCAACUUUGUGAUACACUUUCAAAGAGUCGGAUUGUUUGGGAAUGCAGUCCAAAAUGGGUGGUAAAUUUCAUCUAAAGCUAAAUAUUGGCGAGAGACCGAUAGCGAACAAGUACCGUGAGGGAAAGAUGAAAAGAACUUUGAAAAGAGAGUUAAACAGUACGUGAAAUUGUCAAAAGGGAAGCGUUUGACACCAGUGUUGUUUUUCUGAAAAUCAAUUAAAGAACUGUUUAUGCUAAGUUGUUUAGACUUUAUCAGCUAACUGUUUAGUUUUGAGCUUUUCUUUAAUGCACUUUUCAGUUAACAAGUCAACAUCAAUUUCUUUUGCUGUAAAAAAGCUUGGGGAAGGUGGCUUGAGAUUCGUCUUAAGUGUUUAUAGCCUCUUGCCUAUGCAGUCGGAGAGAUUGAGGUCUGCAGCGUAGAUCCUUCGGGGCUAAAUGCAUUUGUGCUAAGUUAUAGCAUUUUAUAGACAACUUGUUGACUAUGAUUUGUCUUGUAGCUUACUCGCUUAUGUUAUUUUACCUACGCUUAGGAUGUUGAAUCUGUGCGAGACUAC